This 579-nucleotide small RNA is filed under the name Pan troglodytes (chimpanzee). Its description in RNAcentral is "retained intron". Lineage: Eukaryota; Metazoa; Chordata; Mammalia; Primates; Hominidae. The record is from RNAcentral.
UCUCCUGGGCAGCUGCGGCGGCGGCGCUGGCACCCCGGCCCCGGCGGGCCCCGGCGGAGCGGCGGGCAAAGGUCCCAGGAAGGUGGCGUCAGCAUCUGCAGCCGCGUCGACGUUGUCGGAGCCUCCGCGGAGGACCCAGGAGAGCCGGACUAGGACCAGGGCCCUGGGCCUCCCCACACUCCCCAUGGAGAAGCCGGCGGCCUCUACAGAGCCCCAAGGGCCUCGGCCGGUCCUGGGCCGUGAGAGUGUCCAGGUGCCCGAUGACCAAGACUUUCGCAGCUUCCGGUCAGAGUGUGAGGCUGAGGUGGGCUGGAACCUGACCUAUAGCAGGGCUGGGGUGUCUGUCUGGGUGCAGGCUGUGGAGAUGGAUCGGACGCUGCACAAGAUCAAGUGCCGGAUGGAGUGCCGUGAUGUGCCAGCCGAGACACUCUACGACGUCCUACACGACAUUGAGUACCGCAAGAAAUGGGACAGCAACGUCAUUGAGACUUUUGACAUCGCCCGCUUGACAGUCAACGCUGACGUGGGCUAUUACUCCUGUGAGCAGGCGUAGCACGCUGAUCCCAGUCCCCUUGGCCU